UCCGGAGCUAACGCGUUAAAUCGACCGCCUGGGGAGUACGGCCGCAAGGUUAAAACUCAAAUGAAUUGACGGGGGCCCGCACAAGCGGUGGAGCAUGUGGUUUAAUUCGAUGCAACGCGAAGAACCUUACCUGGUCUUGACAUCCACAGAACUUUCCAGAGAUGGAUUGGUGCCUUCGGGAACUGUGAGACAGGUGCUGCAUGGCUGUCGUCAGCUCGUGUUGUGAAAUGUUGGGUUAAGUCCCGCAACGAGCGCAACCCUUAUCCUUUGUUGCCAGCGGUUCGGCCGGGAACUCAAAGGAGACUGCCAGUGAUAAACUGGAGGAAGGUGGGGAUGACGUCAAGUCAUCAUGGCCCUUACGACCAGGGCUACACACGUGCUACAAUGGCAUAUACAAAGAGAAGCGACCUCGCGAGAGCAAGCGGACCUCAUAAAGUAUGUCGUAGUCCGGAUUGGAGUCUGCAACUCGACUCCAUGAAGUCGGAAUCGCUAGUAAUCGUAGAUCAGAAUGCUACGGUGAAUACGUUCCCGGGCCUUGUACACACCGCCCGUCACACCAUGGGAGUGGGUUGCAAAAGAAGUAGGUAGCUUAACCUUCGG
RNAcentral lists this ribosomal RNA (600 nucleotides) under Klebsiella pneumoniae. Its description in RNAcentral is "bacterial SSU rRNA". It matches the Rfam family "Bacterial small subunit ribosomal RNA", at positions 845 to 1445 of the family's 1533-position model. The record is from RNAcentral. Lineage: Bacteria; Pseudomonadati; Pseudomonadota; Gammaproteobacteria; Enterobacterales; Enterobacteriaceae.